Molecule: ribosomal RNA, 161 nt
Filed under: uncultured bacterium
Lineage: Bacteria
Description: partial 16S rRNA
Rfam family: Bacterial small subunit ribosomal RNA
Source: RNAcentral
UAGGGAAUCUUCCGCAAUGGACGAAAGUCUGACGGAGCAACGCCGCGUGAGUGAUGAAGGCUUUCGGGUCGUAAAACUCUGUUGUUAGGGAAGAACAAGUACGAGAGUAACUGCUCGUACCUUGACGGUACCUAACCAGAAAGCCACGGCUAACUACGUGC